Molecule: ribosomal RNA, 2423 nt
Filed under: Escherichia coli
Lineage: Bacteria; Pseudomonadati; Pseudomonadota; Gammaproteobacteria; Enterobacterales; Enterobacteriaceae
Description: partial 23S ribosomal RNA
Rfam family: Bacterial large subunit ribosomal RNA
Source: RNAcentral
UGUGAGCUCGAUGAGUAGGGCGGGACACGUGGUAUCCUGUCUGAAUAUGGGGGGACCAUCCUCCAAGGCUAAAUACUCCUGACUGACCGAUAGUGAACCAGUACCGUGAGGGAAAGGCGAAAAGAACCCCGGCGAGGGGAGUGAAAAAGAACCUGAAACCGUGUACGUACAAGCAGUGGGAGCCUCUUAAUGGGGUGACUGCGUACCUUUUGUAUAAUGGGUCAGCGACUUAUAUUCUGUAGCAAGGUUAACCGAAUAGGGGAGCCGAAGGGAAACCGAGUCUUAACUGGGCGUUAAGUUGCAGGGUAUAGACCCGAAACCCGGUGAUCUAGCCAUGGGCAGGUUGAAGGUUGGGUAACACUAACUGGAGGACCGAACCGACUAAUGUUGAAAAAUUAGCGGAUGACUUGUGGCUGGGGGUGAAAGGCCAAUCAAACCGGGAGAUAGCUGGUUCUCCCCGAAAGCUAUUUAGGUAGCGCCUCGUGAAUUCAUCUCCGGGGGUAGAGCACUGUUUCGGCAAGGGGGUCAUCCCGACUUACCAACCCGAUGCAAACUGCGAAUACCGGAGAAUGUUAUCACGGGAGACACACGGCGGGUGCUAACGUCCGUCGUGAAGAGGGAAACAACCCAGACCGCCAGCUAAGGUCCCAAAGUCAUGGUUAAGUGGGAAACGAUGUGGGAAGGCCCAGACAGCCAGGAUGUUGGCUUAGAAGCAGCCAUCAUUUAAAGAAAGCGUAAUAGCUCACUGGUCGAGUCGGCCUGCGCGGAAGAUGUAACGGGGCUAAACCAUGCACCGAAGCUGCGGCAGCGACACUAUGUGUUGUUGGGUAGGGGAGCGUUCUGUAAGCCUGUGAAGGUGGCCUGUGAGGGUUGCUGGAGGUAUCAGAAGUGCGAAUGCUGACAUAAGUAACGAUAAAGCGGGUGAAAAGCCCGCUCGCCGGAAGACCAAGGGUUCCUGUCCAACGUUAAUCGGGGCAGGGUGAGUCGACCCCUAAGGCGAGGCCGAAAGGCGUAGUCGAUGGGAAACAGGUUAAUAUUCCUGUACUUGGUGUUACUGCGAAGGGGGGACGGAGAAGGCUAUGUUGGCCGGGCGACGGUUGUCCCGGUUUAAGCGUGUAGGCUGGUUUUCCAGGCAAAUCCGGAAAACCAAGGCUGAGGCGUGAUGACGAGGCACUACGGUGCUGAAGUGACAAAUGCCCUGCUUCCAGGAAAAGCCUCUAAGCAUCAGGUAACAUCAAAUCGUACCCCAAACCGACACAGGUGGUCAGGUAGAGAAUACCAAGGCGCUUGAGAGAACUCGGGUGAAGGAACUAGGCAAAAUGGUGCCGUAACUUCGGGAGAAGGCACGCUGAUAUGUAGGUGAAGCGACUUGCUCGUGGAGCUGAAAUCAGUCGAAGAUACCAGCUGGCUGCAACUGUUUAUUAAAAACACAGCACUGUGCAAACACGAAAGUGGACGUAUACGGUGUGACGCCUGCCCGGUGCCGGAAGGUUAAUUGAUGGGGUUAGCGGUAACGCGAAGCUCUUGAUCGAAGCCCCGGUAAACGGCGGCCGUAACUAUAACGGUCCUAAGGUAGCGAAAUUCCUUGUCGGGUAAGUUCCGACCUGCACGAAUGGCGUAAUGAUGGCCAGGCUGUCUCCACCCGAGACUCAGUGAAAUUGAACUCGCUGUGAAGAUGCAGUGUACCCGCGGCAAGACGGAAAGACCCCGUGAACCUUUACUAUAGCUUGACACUGAACAUUGAGCCUUGAUGUGUAGGAUAGGUGGGAGGCUUUGAAGUGUGGACGCCAGUCUGCAUGGAGCCGACCUUGAAAUACCACCCUUUAAUGUUUGAUGUUCUAACGUUGGCCCGUAAUCCGGGUUGCGGACAGUGUCUGGUGGGUAGUUUGACUGGGGCGGUCUCCUCCUAAAGAGUAACGGAGGAGCACGAAGGUUGGCUAAUCCUGGUCGGACAUCAGGAGGUUAGUGCAAUGGCAUAAGCCAGCUUGACUGCGAGCGUGACGGCGCGAGCAGGUGCGAAAGCAGGUCAUAGUGAUCCGGUGGUUCUGAAUGGAAGGGCCAUCGCUCAACGGAUAAAAGGUACUCCGGGGAUAACAGGCUGAUACCGCCCAAGAGUUCAUAUCGACGGCGGUGUUUGGCACCUCGAUGUCGGCUCAUCACAUCCUGGGGCUGAAGUAGGUCCCAAGGGUAUGGCUGUUCGCCAUUUAAAGUGGUACGCGAGCUGGGUUUAGAACGUCGUGAGACAGUUCGGUCCCUAUCUGCCGUGGGCGCUGGAGAACUGAGGGGGGCUGCUCCUAGUACGAGAGGACCGGAGUGGACGCAUCACUGGUGUUCGGGUUGUCAUGCCAAUGGCACUGCCCGGUAGCUAAAUGCGGAAGAGAUAAGUGCUGAAAGCAUCUAAGCACGAAACUUGCCCCGAGAUG